Molecule: ribosomal RNA, 469 nt
Filed under: uncultured Vibrio sp.
Lineage: Bacteria; Pseudomonadati; Pseudomonadota; Gammaproteobacteria; Vibrionales; Vibrionaceae
Description: bacterial SSU rRNA
Rfam family: Bacterial small subunit ribosomal RNA
Source: RNAcentral
UCGAGCGGAACGACUUAACUGAACCUUCGGGGAACGUUAAGGGCGUACGAGCGGCGGACGGGUGAGUGAAUGCCUGGGAAAUUGCCCCAGUAGAGGGGGAUAACCAUUGGAAACGAUGGCUAAUACCGCAUAACCUCUUCGGAGCAAAGCAGGGGACCUUCGGGCCUUGCGCUAUUGGAUACGCCUAGGUGGGAUUAGCUAGUUGGUGAGGUAAGGGCUCACCCAAGGCGACGAUCCCUAGCUGGUCUGAGAGGAUGAUCAGCCACACUGGAACUGAGACACGGUCCAGACUCCUACGGGAGGCAGCAGUGGGGAAUAUUGCACAAUGGGCGAAAGCCUGAUGCAGCCAUGCCGCGUGUGUGAAGAAGGCCUUCGGGUUGUAAAGCACUUUCAGCAGUGAGGAAGAUGGUAAGAUUAAUACUCUUAUCAUUUGACGUUAGCUGCAGAAGAAGCACCGGCUAACUCCGUG